RNAcentral lists this ribosomal RNA (253 nucleotides) under uncultured prokaryote. Its description in RNAcentral is "partial 16S ribosomal RNA". It matches the Rfam family "Bacterial small subunit ribosomal RNA", at positions 524 to 776 of the family's 1533-position model. The record is from RNAcentral.
UACGGAGGGUGCAAGCGUUAUCCGGAUUCACUGGGUUUAAAGGGUGCGUAGGUGGGCAGGUAAGUCAGUGGUGAAAUCUCUAAGCUUAACUUAGAAACUGCCGUUGAUACUAUCUGUCUUGAAUAUAGUGGAGGUGAGCGGAAUAUGUCAUGUAGCGGUGAAAUGCUUAGAUAUGACAUAGAACACCCAUUGCGAAGGCAGCUCGCUACACUAUUAUUGACACUGAGGCACGAAAGCGUGGGGAUCAAACAGG